Molecule: ribosomal RNA, 376 nt
Filed under: uncultured crenarchaeote
Lineage: Archaea; Thermoproteati; Thermoproteota
Description: bacterial SSU rRNA
Rfam family: Archaeal small subunit ribosomal RNA
Source: RNAcentral
CUUUGCAAUGUGCGAAAGCACGACAAGGUUAAUCCGAGUGGUUUCUGCUAAAGGAACCUUUUGUCAGUCAUAGAACCACUGAUGAAUAAGGGGUGGGCAAGUUCUGGUGUCAGCCGCCGCGGUAAAACCAGCACCUCAAGUGGUCAGGAUGAUUAUUGGGCCUAAAGCAUCCGUAGCCUGCUUUGUUAGUUUUCGGUUAAAUCCAUACGCUCAACGUAUGGGCUGCCGGGAAUACUGCAAAGCUAGGGAGUGGGAGAGGUAGACGGUACUCGGUAGGAAGGGGUAAAAUCCUUUGAUCUAUUGAUGACCACCUGUGGCGAAGGCGGUCUACCAGAACACGUCCGACGGUGAGGGAUGAAAGCUGGGGGAGCAAACC